GGCUUAGAGUUUGAUCAUGGCUCAGGAUGAACGCUGGCGGCGUGCCUAACACAUGCAAGUCGAGCAAUUUACUUCGGUAAAGAGCGGCGGACGGGUGAGUAACGCGUGGGUAACCUGCCCUGUACACACGGAUAACAUACCGAAAGGUAUGCUAAUACGAGAUAAUAUGCUUUUAUCGCAUGGUAGAAGUAUCAAAGCUUUUGCGGUACAGGAUGGACCCGCGUCUGAUUAGCUAGUUGGUAAGGUAACGGCUUACCAAGGCGACGAUCAGUAGCCGGCCUGAGAGGGUGAUCGGCCACAUUGGAACUGAGACACGGUCCAAACUCCUACGGGAGGCAGCAGUGGGGAAUAUUGCACAAUGGGCGAAAGCCUGAUGCGGCAACGCCGCGUGAGCGAUGAAGGCCUUCGGGUCGUAAAGCUCUGUCCUCAAGGAAGAUAAUGACGGUACUUGAGGAGGAAGCCCCGGCUAACUACGUGCCAGCAGCCGCGGUAAUACGUAGGGGGCUAGCGUUAUCCGGAAUUACUGGGCGUAAAGGGUGCGUAGGUGGUUUCUUAAGUCAGAGGUGAAAGGCUACGGCUCAACCGUAGUAAGCCUUUGAAACUGGGAAACUUGAGUGCAGGAGAGGAGAGUG
Molecule: ribosomal RNA, 632 nt
Filed under: uncultured organism
Description: bacterial SSU rRNA
Rfam family: Bacterial small subunit ribosomal RNA
Source: RNAcentral